UUUCAUUAACUCGCCGGUCGUACGUUCUCGGCCGUCUUCCUACUCUCUCUCCCGUUUGCCGGUCUCCACUCCAUGUCUUUCACCGUUUCGAGCGGCCGUCCGCAGCGUUGCGCCACGAGGCGCUUCGGCGCGUUUCAUACGAUCAUUUUUCUUAAAUUAUUUCUCCAACCGUAAUUAUUAUUGUUUGUAUUAACAUUGAAUAACUAAUGACUUCUCGCCGCCGUUCAAUUAUCCUGCUGCACGUAAGUAACAAAACAGUUAACAGUUUUUUUUAUUGAUAGUGGGGGGGGGAGAGCGGGGUUAUAAGUAAAAAAACGGGACAGUAAGAAAUUUUAAAUUUAUUUAACUUGCUUGAUAUCUAUUAUAUCUAUUUUUUU
Molecule: non-coding RNA, 377 nt
Organism: Cinara cedri
Lineage: Eukaryota; Metazoa; Arthropoda; Insecta; Hemiptera; Aphididae
Source: the annotation of a GenBank genome assembly